GCCUUCGUAGUGUAGUAGUCAGCACACUCAACGCAUAACCAAGAAGUUCGUGGUUCGAUUCCCGGUGAAGGCG
Molecule: transfer RNA, 73 nt
Filed under: Stegodyphus mimosarum
Lineage: Eukaryota; Metazoa; Arthropoda; Arachnida; Araneae; Eresidae
Rfam family: tRNA
About the family: Transfer RNA (tRNA) molecules are approximately 80 nucleotides in length. Their secondary structure includes four short double-helical elements and three loops (D, anti-codon, and T loops). Further hydrogen bonds mediate the characteristic L-shaped molecular structure. tRNAs have two regions of fundamental functional importance: the anti-codon, which is responsible for specific mRNA codon recognition, and the 3' end, to which the tRNAs corresponding amino acid is attached (by aminoacyl-tRNA synthetases). tRNAs cope with the degeneracy of the genetic code in two manners: having more than one tRNA (with a specific anti-codon) for a particular amino acid; and 'wobble' base-pairing, i.e. permitting non-standard base-pairing at the 3rd anti-codon position.
Source: Rfam by way of RNAcentral